GGUAGAACUUGUCCUUGUCACCUCAAUAGUUCACUAUUGGUAAUUUAAUGAGCCUGUUUGUCGGUUUCUUUCAGGAUAAAAAGACCCAGAAGAUCGUGGGGAAGGAUGUGAAGUGGUUCAUCUUCGGCAGUCUGGUUGAAGUUGAAGGUGGAGGGACUAGAGACAGAGUCAAGUGAACCACCCAAGCCCUCUGAGUAGCCAGAAGAGGCCCAUUGGCAUCUGAUCAUUCAUCAUCAGAAGGGAGAGGUUGCUCUUCAGAGAGCUCAGCUUCUGCAGAGUCAGCUUGACCCACUGGCAGAGCUGCCCAGCUGUGGCCAACAGAUGGCUGAACUGGAGUCAGUACAGCUCUUGCCCACUUCCUACGAUCCCGGGGUCCUGGAAGGGAGGCUGCGUGUCAGCCUGUGAGUGUCCUUGGCAUCAAGUGAUGGAAAAGCACUUUGAAAAAUGAUUGACGGAUUUAGAGUGUAUGUGUGCAUGUGCGUGGAGGUCAGGGAAUUUUCUGGGUUUGUCCUCUCCCUCUACCAUAUGAGGCUUGGGGAUUGAACUCCAGUUGUCACUCUUGGCAGCAAUCACUUUUACCCACUGAUCCAUCUUGUCAUCCCUGGAAAAACAUAUCUUAACAGAAGGAGC
RNAcentral lists this long non-coding RNA (630 nucleotides) under Rattus norvegicus (Norway rat). Its description in RNAcentral is "long non-coding RNA NONRATT031361". Lineage: Eukaryota; Metazoa; Chordata; Mammalia; Rodentia; Muridae. The record is from RNAcentral.